UUGAACGCUGGCGGCAGGCCUAACACAUGCAAGUCGAGCGGAUGAAGGGAGCUUGCUCCUGGAUUCAGCGGCGGACGGGUGAGUAAUGCCUAGGAAUCUGCCUGGUAGUGGGGGAUAACGUCCGGAAACGGGCGCUAAUACCGCAUACGUCCUGAGGGAGAAAGUGGGGGAUCUUCGGACCUCACGCUAUCAGAUGAGCCUAGGUCGGAUUAGCUAGUUGGUGGGGUAAAGGCCUACCAAGGCGACGAUCCGUAACUGGUCUGAGAGGAUGAUCAGUCACACUGGAACUGAGACACGGUCCAGACUCCUACGGGAGGCAGCAGUGGGGAAUAUUGGACAAUGGGCGAAAGCCUGAUCCAGCCAUGCCGCGUGUGUGAAGAAGGUCUUCGGAUUGUAAAGCACUUUAAGUUGGGAGGAAGGGCAGUAAGUUAAUACCUUACUGUUUUGACGUUACCAACAGAAUAAGCACCGGCUAACUUCGUG
Molecule: ribosomal RNA, 483 nt
Filed under: uncultured bacterium
Lineage: Bacteria
Description: partial 16S ribosomal RNA
Rfam family: Bacterial small subunit ribosomal RNA
Source: RNAcentral